CGGCGUGUGGCUCAGCUUGGUAGAGCGCUACGUUCGGGACGUAGAGGUCGCAGGUUCGAAUCCUGUCACGCCGA
This 74-nucleotide transfer RNA is filed under the name Pseudocoprococcus catus. RNAcentral describes it as "Coprococcus catus tRNA". It matches the Rfam family "tRNA". Rfam says of the family: Transfer RNA (tRNA) molecules are approximately 80 nucleotides in length. Lineage: Bacteria; Bacillati; Bacillota; Clostridia; Lachnospirales; Lachnospiraceae. The record is from Rfam by way of RNAcentral. RNAcentral also lists the same sequence under 8 other names.